Molecule: non-coding RNA, 783 nt
Organism: Ictidomys tridecemlineatus (thirteen-lined ground squirrel)
Lineage: Eukaryota; Metazoa; Chordata; Mammalia; Rodentia; Sciuridae
Source: RefSeq, a predicted model, not a curated record
UUUGGUAAUAUGAUUGAACUAUCUGGAAGCAGUAUAUAUUUAUUAUCAUACUUAACUUGUUUUUAUCUCUUGAAAUAAGGUACAUUUUUCCUGUCUGAAUCAUGUUAUCAGAUAUUUGAGCUAUUGAUAGGAUUUUAAAAUAAUUUUUCCCUAAAAGUUAGUAGGAAUUAUUUCCUGUGAAGAUAAAAGACUACAAUUCAUGGUAAUAUUGAACAAAAUAAUGAAACCAUCAAAUUAUCUUUCAAAGCUACCGUUUUAAUUUGCCUUCCUACCAACAAUAAAUGUAAUUGGUCACCAUGACAGAAAGUUGAGAAAACCAAAUAUAACUUGGCUUCAAGAAGCUCAUGAUUCUGGAGAAAUGAACUGUCAGCAGUAGAGAAAGCUGUCAGCCAAAGAGAAACCUUUGAAAGAGAUAUCUUGGGAAGUGAUUUAUGAUGAAGGAAUCUGCUUUUUGAAAAUUAACAUCACACUGGAAUGAGCAAAGAUGAAAAUAUUUACUGCAAUUUUAAUGAACAUCAACCAAGAAAUUUCUCAGUUCAGAAUUUUCAAAGUCAACAAAAGCAAAUUAACUAACGAAAUGACCCACAUGGCUAGCUGGAGUAUGCUGAUUUUACCUUCACUUCUAGAAAGAAAACUUUCCUAUAAACAGCAACAAUAACGCCCCACCACCCCCCCCAAAAAAACCAACAACUAUUUUCAUACAUUCUACCCAGUUAUAUAGAGGAGAAAGUAGAUAGAUUAAUCUGGUAUAUUUACACAUGUGUGAAAAAAUAUUCUAAAUAA